Small nuclear RNA from Saprolegnia diclina VS20, 160 nucleotides. It matches the Rfam family "U1 spliceosomal RNA". From Rfam's summary of the family: U1 is a small nuclear RNA (snRNA) component of the spliceosome (involved in pre-mRNA splicing). Its 5' end forms complementary base pairs with the 5' splice junction, thus defining the 5' donor site of an intron. There are significant differences in sequence and secondary structure between metazoan and yeast U1 snRNAs, the latter being much longer (568 nucleotides as compared to 164 nucleotides in human). The record is from Rfam. NCBI's taxonomy places the organism in Eukaryota, Oomycota, Saprolegniomycetes, Saprolegniales, Saprolegniaceae.
AUACUUACCUGACUAGGGUUGGACCGUGCUCAUGCAGGCGGUUCACCUAGGCCGGAGCAGGCCUUCAUGCACUCCGGUGCUGUAAUGGCCUAGGAGUGCCUUCGGGUUCCUCCAUAGUGCAAUUUUUGCCAGCGGGGGUGUGCGCGUGCGCCACCCCCAC